This is an unclassified non-coding RNA of Nomascus leucogenys (northern white-cheeked gibbon), 309 nucleotides long. Its record names the gene 7SK. It matches the Rfam family "7SK RNA". Rfam says of the family: 7SK was discovered as an abundant small nuclear RNA in the mid-70s but a possible function has only recently been suggested. Two independent studies have found that 7SK RNA binds the CDK9/cyclin T complex (known as elongation factor P-TEFb). P-TEFb activates transcription by phosphorylating the C-terminal domain of RNA polymerase II. The record is from Ensembl. NCBI's taxonomy places the organism in Eukaryota, Metazoa, Chordata, Mammalia, Primates, Hylobatidae.
GGAUGUGAGGGUGAUCUGGCUGCAACAUCUGUCACCCCAUUGAUCGCCAGGGUUGAUUCAGCUGAUGGCUGGCAAGGUGGUGUCCCCUUCCUCACCACUCCAUGUGUGUCCCUCCCAAAGCUGCAUGCUGGGUCAAAGAGGACGACCAUCCCUGAUGGAGUAGGAUGGGUCUUUGGUCAAGGGUAUAGGAGUAACAGGAGUAACUGCAUUCCCCUGCUAGAACCUCCAAACAAGCUCUCGAGAAAUGAAUCUCUUAACAAAUUCAGUGGCAUGUUUUUCAUCCAAUUAAUUCAUGUAUAGCAGGUCUUU